CAGUCGCCACGGGAAUACGAAGGGUGCAAGCGUUAAUCGGAAUUACUGGGCGUAAAGCGUGCGCAGGCGGUGUUGUAAGACUGAUGUGAAAUCCCCGGGCUCAACCUGGGAACUGCAUCCAAAACUGGCGAGCUAGAGUAUGGUAGAGGGUGGUGGAAUUUCCUGUGUAGCGGUGAAAUGCGUAGAUAUAGGAAGGAACAUCAGUGGCGAAGGCGACCACCUGGACUGAUACUGACACUGAGGUGCGAAAGCGUGGGGAGCAAACAGGAUUAGAUACCCGCGUAGUCCUGUCUCUUAUACA
Molecule: ribosomal RNA, 301 nt
Filed under: uncultured bacterium
Lineage: Bacteria
Description: partial 16S ribosomal RNA
Rfam family: Bacterial small subunit ribosomal RNA
Source: RNAcentral